GCACUCUAAGUGAGGGAGGGGUCCUGGGACCUUCCUUAUUCCUUCCCCUUAAACCCGAGUGUUCUUGAAUUUAGGCUUUUGGGGGGGCAUACCUUUUAAGUUGAAUCCAGCAGGAAGGUUCCUUAGCUCUGUCUUGUUGUUAGUUUGAUUUUCAGUCCCCUAGUAGCAUUUAGUUUGUAAUUGGUAAGGAAGGUUUUUCAGAGGUCUGAACUUUUACUGCCUCUAAGCUGCCAUAUUGAUUCUUCCCCCUCUAGAAUCAAAGGUCCUGAAUUUCUGGGGCUAGAGAGAGAGGACUCCAAGAAGAGAGUCACUCCAAGAAGGAAGUUGGCUUCAAGUGGAAGGUGGGCUCAAAGAAGAAAGUUGGCCUCAGGAGCCUCCUUCAGCUCUAGUCAUUAUCUUGACCUGUCUCUUGGAGAGAAUUUGUGUGUGCCUCAUCAUCUGGGAAACCUGAUGAAAUAUAAUCAGUCUACAAUCAUUAAGCUUGUGUCAGACACUGUAGUAAAAUCUGAGGAUGUGAAGAAAAGCAAAUAUGGAGUUCCUGCUUUCAGUAAACUCAUAUUCCAACUGCAAAUUUUAAAGAUGAGGCAGCCGAAGCAAGGAGGUGUAAAUGACUGGCUUAGGGUCACCGAACUGCUAUAUGAGUGCCUUAUGGAGACACAAUCAAAAUGAAGAAGAAAAGUGACACAAUUUGAGGGAUAAUUCAAAGUCCAGGGAUUACCGAGGUGAUCUACUUCUUAGAAAUGAUUAAGAAGACCUAAGUUUCAUUUCCUGGAAAGGUGAAUUUUUCCCAUUAAAGAUGUAAUUAUUCAAUCAAGAUAUUUUGACUUUUCCAUGUAGACUAAUUGUAGAAUAAACACAUUGUACUUACAUGCCA
This 874-nucleotide long non-coding RNA is filed under the name Monodelphis domestica (gray short-tailed opossum). RNAcentral describes it as "lncRNA (ENSMODG00000032493.2)". Lineage: Eukaryota; Metazoa; Chordata; Mammalia; Didelphimorphia; Didelphidae. The record is from RNAcentral.